RNAcentral lists this ribosomal RNA (379 nucleotides) under uncultured cyanobacterium. Its description in RNAcentral is "bacterial SSU rRNA". It matches the Rfam family "Bacterial small subunit ribosomal RNA", at positions 376 to 770 of the family's 1533-position model. The record is from RNAcentral. Lineage: Bacteria; Bacillati; Cyanobacteriota.
CGCAAGCCUGACGGAGCCAGACCGCGUGAGGGAAGAAAGCCUUUGGGUUGUAAACCUCUUUUCUCAGGGAAGAAACCUGACGGUACCUGAGGAAUCAGCAUCGGCUAACUCCGUGCCAGCAGCCGCGGUAAGACGGAGGAUGCAAGCGUUAUCCGGAAUUAUUGGGCGUAAAGCGUCCGCAGGUGGCGAUUCAAGUCUGCUGUCAAAGCACGGGGCUUAACUCCGUUAAGGCAGUGGAAACUGACCCACUCGAGGGUGGUAGGGGUAGAGGGAAUUCCCAGUGUAGCGGUGAAAUGCGUAGAGAUUGGGAAGAACACCGGUGGCGAAAGCGCUCUACUGGACCACACCUGACACUCAGAGGACGAAAGCUAGGGGAGCG